Molecule: long non-coding RNA, 1420 nt
Filed under: Prunus dulcis (almond)
Lineage: Eukaryota; Viridiplantae; Streptophyta; Magnoliopsida; Rosales; Rosaceae
Description: sRNA ncRNA
Source: RNAcentral
ACGGAGUCUAUUUAGGAACUGCUCGGUCGCACAAAAGAGAGGAGGGACUUGACCUUUCAUGUUUCCUAGCUGCCUAUACAUAAAUCUCAAUAUUAGAGGAGGACUAACAGCUGAGAGUAGUACUUUAUUGUUCUUGGGCAACAAGAAAUCAGAGUCAAAGCAGCUCCAAAGUAGAGGGGCAAUAUGUUCUAGAUCAUCGUGUUACUCUCCUAAGAACACAGCAUCAAUCAGCCCAAGAAAAGGAGAAGCUAUUUUGCCACCUUAUUUCCAUUGUUCCCUCAAAGCCUUCAGUUCUUCGUCCUCUACAUGACCAGCCCACACCACUGUAACUACCGUCACACCAACCUCCGGUCCCUACUUCUUCCCACGUCAUCCGUUCACAUGUAUCUUGAUUUUACCUAACCUAACUGAACAACAAAACUGUGGUCCAUAACGAUCAUGUUAGGAUGCUCAAGUGCAUUACAAGAUACUAUGAAAGGGGUAUCUUCGUAUGAAUAAUUAAUUGCUAGCCUUGUUUCCAACAAACCCAAGUCCAACAUGGCUCUCGAAAAAGCUUCCCUUAUUUAACGCAAGGUAUCAUACUCCUAUACUACUAAAACCUCGAUUUUGAGCACUUCAUUGUUGUUUUAUAGGCAGAAUUGGAAGUACUAAAUGUGCCCAUUAUGGAUUCUUUUAACAUAAUUUUUUUAGUUAACAACCUUUCUAAUCACUUAGUAAAUUUGAGUCUCUUGAUAAAUCUAAUGCAACAAUUUUACCUUCCCGACAGCUCAAAGGCAAAAACUCCAUGAUUCUCAAGUGAAUGUAGUGGUUGAACACCUUCGGCAUUUUCCAGUACCUUAAUACCAUCCUCACUUGCUGAAACUGCUAGCAUUCUUCCUUCCUUUUUAAAUUGUAAACAAUGAGAAUCCUAACACAGAUAUUAAAUCAAGUGUUCUUUCAACUCUAACAUUAACCUCGAAAUAUAUAAUAGUGAACAUGAUGACCAAAGGUAUACAACUUAUCACCAAUGAAUCUGCAAACAGAUAACCAUGAUGUUUGCAAGCAAUAGCCUUAUCCAUCGUAAUGAAGGAAAAUGCCGUAUGAACCAAACCUUAAUUAAGGCUCGUCAAUGGGCCGGGCGGGGCUUUAAAGAUGAGAGAGAAAAUAUCGGAUCGGGUUUUUUUAGAAAGUUCAAGCUCAACUCAUGAGCCGGGCUUGAGAAAGCCCAUUGGGCUGGGCCGGGCUAAGCCCAACGGGCCCUACUUCAUUUAAAAAAAAAUCAUAAAGGAAUUUUAAUCUAAAUUUGAGAUUAAACUCACUUAAUUUCAAUAUUUUCACUUCAAACCAAAUUUAUAAAACACACAAUAAAGUUACACAGCUUAUAAGAUUUUCCACAAAAAUAAUAAAACUAAGUAUUAUUUUUGAGGUUAUUACAUAAUUA